AAUGGAGAUGAUGAUGUAAUGGAGGUGAUGAUGUUAUGGAGGUGAUGAUGUAAUGGAGGUGAUGAUGUUAUGGAGGUGAUGAUGUAAUGGAGGUGAUGAUGUAAUGGAGAUGAUGAUGUAAUGGAGGUGAUGAUGUUUAGGAGAGGAUGAUGUAAUGGAUGUAAUGGAGAUGAUGAUGUAAUGGAGGUGAUGAUGUUAUGGAGAUGAUGAUGUAAUGGAUGUAAUGGAGAUGAUGAUGUAAUGGAGGUGAUGAUGUUAUGGAGAUGAUGAUGUAAUGGAUGUAAUGGAGGUGAUGAUGUUAUGGAGGUGAUGAUGUUAUGGAGAUGAUGAUGUAAUGGAUGUAAUGGAGGUGAUGAUGUUAUGGAGGUGAUGAUGUUAUGGAGGUGAUGAUGUAAUGGAUGUUAUGGAGGUGAUGAUGUAAUGGAGGUGAUGAUGUUAUGGAGAUGAUGAUGUAAUGGAUGUAAUGGAGAUGAUGAUGUAAUGGAGAUCAUGAUGUAAUGGAUGUAAUGCAGGUGAUGAUGUUAUGUAGGUGAUGACGUUAUGGAGGUGAUGAUGUUAUGGAGGUGAUGAUGUAAUGGAGAUGAUGAUGUAAUGGAGGUGAUGACGUUAUGGAGAUGAUGAUGUAAUGGAGGUGAUGAUGUUAUGGAGGUGAUGAUGUAAUGGAGGUGAUGAUGUUAUGGAGGUGAUGAUGUAAUGGAGGUGAUGAUGUUAUGGAGGUGAUGAUGUUAUGGAGAUGAUGAUGUUAUGGAGGUGAUGAUGUAAUGGAAGUGAUGAUGUAAUGGAGGUGAUGACGUUAUGGAGAUGAUGAUGUAAUGGAGGUGAUGAUGUUAUGGAGGUGAUGAUGUAAUGGAGGUGAUGAUGUUAUGGAGAUGAUGAUGUUAUGGAGGUGAUGAUGUUAUGGAGGUGAUGAUGUUAUGGAGGUGAUGAUGUAAUGGAGGUGAUGAUGUAAUGGAGAUGAUGAUGUAAUGGAGGUGAUGAUGUUAUGGAGGUGAUGAUGUUAUGGAGAUGAUGAUGUAAUGGAGGUGAUGAUGUUAUGGAGAUGAUGAUGUUAUGGAGGUGAUGAUGUAAUGGAGGUGAUGAUGUUAUGGAGAUGAUGAUGUAAUGGAGGUGAUGGUGUUAUGGAGGUGAUGAUGUUAUGGAGAUGAUGAUGUUAUGGAGGUGAUGAUGUAAUGGAGGUGAUGAUGUUAUGGAGGUGAUGAUGUUAUGGAGGUGAUGAUGUAAUGGAGGUGAUGAUGUUAUGGAGGUGAUGAUGUAAUGGAGGUGAUGGUGUUAUGGAGGUGAUGAUGUAAUGGAGGUGAUGGUGUAAUGGAGGUGAUGAUGUAAUGGAGGUGAUGACGUUAUGGAGGUGAUGAUGUAAUGGAGGUGAUGACGUUAUGGAGGUGAUGGUGUUAUGGAGAUGAUGAUGUUAUGGAGGUGAUGAUGUUAUGGAGGUGAUGAUGUUAUGGAGGUGAUGAUGUUAUGGAGGUGAUGAUGUUAUGGAGGUGAUGGUGUUAUGGAGGUGAUGAUGUUAUGGAGGUGAUGAUGUUAUGGAGGUGAUGAUGUAAUGGAGGUGAUGAUGUUAUGGAGGUGAUGAUGUUAUGGAGGUGAUGAUGUUAUGGAGGUGAUGAUGUUAUGGAGGUGAUGAUGUUAUGGAGGUGAUGAUGUUAUGGAGGUGAUGAUGUUAUGGAGGUGAUGAUGUUAUGGAGGUGAUGAUGUUAUGGAGGUGAUGGUGUUAUGGAGGUGAUGAUGUAAUGGAGGUGAAGAAGGUGAUUGGUAACUUAAAGAUAUCAGCAGCAAGUCAUGAUGAGAUUGGUGCCUCUUUUGUGAAAUCAGUGUCUUCCUCGAAUACUGAGCCUCUAACGUAUAUCUUCACCAAAUCUAUGCAAACUGGUACUGUUCCUAAAAAAUAAAAAUAAAAAGUUAUCCCACUUUAUAAAUCUGGGGAUCCAAUAUAUUUUACAGAUUAUUGGCCAAUAUCUGUACUAAGAAAAAAAAAUGAAAAGAAAAAAAUAUUUUCUAUUAUGAUCAACAAUAUGGAUUUCGUAAAAAACGACUUCAUAGAUAUGGCUCUUUUGCAACUUGUGGAUAAAAUCUUUGCAGCCCUGAAACAACAAUGAAUACGCUCUUGGCAUCUUUUCAGAUUUAACCAAAGCGUUUGACACGGUUGAUCAUGAAAUAUUACUUUAUAAAUUGUAUUGUUAUGGUUUUCAUGAUUAUACAUAUAAUUGGUUAUAUAGUUAUGUUUAUGACAGAGAACAAUGUGUUUAUGCUGUGCAUCUACCAGAGCUAAGAUAUCAUGUGGUGUCCCACAGGGUUGGAUAAUUGGACCUUUGUUAUUUUUAAUAUAUAUCUAUGUCCUU
Molecule: long non-coding RNA, 2339 nt
Organism: Oncorhynchus keta (chum salmon)
Lineage: Eukaryota; Metazoa; Chordata; Actinopteri; Salmoniformes; Salmonidae
Exons: 6
Source: RefSeq, a predicted model, not a curated record